This 207-nucleotide ribosomal RNA is filed under the name uncultured bacterium. RNAcentral describes it as "partial 16S ribosomal RNA". It matches the Rfam family "Bacterial small subunit ribosomal RNA", at positions 568 to 774 of the family's 1533-position model. The record is from RNAcentral.
UGCGUAGGCGGUCCGCUAAGUUGGAUGUGAAAACUCUGGGCUUAACCCAGAGCCUGCAUUCAAAACUGACGGGCUAGAGUUCUGGAGGGGGUAGCGGAAUUCCUGGUGUAGCGGUGAAAUGCGUAGAUAUCAGGAGGAACACCGGUGGCGAAGGCGGCUACCUGGACAGAAACUGACGCUGAGGCACGAAAGCUAGGGGAGCAAACA